This 472-nucleotide ribosomal RNA is filed under the name uncultured bacterium. RNAcentral's name for it is "bacterial SSU rRNA". It matches the Rfam family "Bacterial small subunit ribosomal RNA", at positions 30 to 504 of the family's 1533-position model. The record is from RNAcentral.
UAAACGCUGGCGGCGUGCAUAACACAUGCAAGUCGAACGAUGAAGAUUAAAAGAUUUCUUCGGAAUGAAUUUAAUUGGAUUAGUGGCGGACGGGUGAGUAACGCGUGAGUAACCUGCCUUGUACAAGGGGAUAGCCGUUGGAAACGACGAAUAAUACCCUAUGACAUCAAAUAAUCGCAUGAUAAUUUGAUCAAAGAUUUAUCGGUAUAAGAUGGACUCGCGUCUGAUUAGCUAGUUGGUGGGGUAACUGCCCACCAAGGCAACGAUCAGUAGCCGGCUUGAGAGAGUGUACGGCCACAUUGGGACUGAGACACGGCCCAGACUCCUACGGGAGGCAGCAGUGGGGAAUUUUGCACAAUGGGGGAAACCCUGAUGCAGCGACGCCGCGUGAUUUAGAAGGCCUUCGGGUUGUAAAAAUCUUUUGUAUGGGAAGAAAAUGACAGUACCAUACGAAUAAGGACCGGCUAAUUAC